CAUCCCUAUGUUUAUAACAGCACUAUUGACAAUGGCCAAAGUGCGGAAAGAGCCCAGAUGUCCAUCGAUGGAUGAAUGGAUAAAG
Long non-coding RNA from Lynx canadensis (Canada lynx), 85 nucleotides. RefSeq lists it as uncharacterized. The record is from RefSeq and is a predicted model, not a curated record. NCBI's taxonomy places the organism in Eukaryota, Metazoa, Chordata, Mammalia, Carnivora, Felidae. The transcript has 3 exons.